This 216-nucleotide long non-coding RNA is filed under the name Ananas comosus (pineapple). RNAcentral's name for it is "long non-coding RNA (ACOM_LNC005715)". The record is from RNAcentral. Lineage: Eukaryota; Viridiplantae; Streptophyta; Magnoliopsida; Poales; Bromeliaceae.
CUUCGUUCUUCAUCUCUUCUUCUUCAAACUUUCAAGAUUCUGAGUUACUUCACGAAAUAUGCCAACAUAAAAUCCGUAACAAUCUCCCCCUUUGGCAAUUUCAUGACAAAACUCAAAAAUACAUCAAAAUACUCACAACGCUCAACUCUCCAACCAAUAAAAAAUGAAUUCAUUGUCAUCACCAAAACAAUGAACUUCUCGCGUGAAAAAUCCAAA